RNAcentral lists this long non-coding RNA (479 nucleotides) under Nicotiana benthamiana. Its description in RNAcentral is "long non-coding RNA (NBEN_LNC010357)". The record is from RNAcentral. Lineage: Eukaryota; Viridiplantae; Streptophyta; Magnoliopsida; Solanales; Solanaceae.
ACCAAACUGAAUCAAACGACAAAAACAAAGUCCAAAUACAACUCCGAAAGUAAUGUCCAUGGCAUGAAUAAAUACAAUGAAUAAUGUAAUAAAACAUAAUUAAAUGUAGAACAAGGAUAAGUUUUCACUCACAAAUUGAUAUUCAGCCAACUAAAGUUUACAUCUCCAACAUGCUUCAGAUUCAAGUUUCACAUAUCAAUAAAGUCCAAAAGGGUACUUGAAUUUCAAAGUAAACCAAAAGGAAAAUGAAGAUUUCUGCAGUACCAGCAGAUUGAGUGAAUCAACAGAUCAAACACAGUAAUGUUCAAGUUCCUUUAGACUAUUUAUAACCCAGAUGACAUAAAUUCUUUGAAAGUAUUGGAAAAUUCUAAUUAACUAUGAAGAUCAAGAGCAGAACCAACGCAAAUUUAAACCAAAAAAAGUGCAGACAGUUUUCAGUAUUUUUAGAGUAUCAAUGGCUGCCCUGAUAAUGAAUGAAA